RNAcentral lists this ribosomal RNA (508 nucleotides) under uncultured Glomus. Its description in RNAcentral is "SSU rRNA". It matches the Rfam family "Eukaryotic small subunit ribosomal RNA", at positions 569 to 1078 of the family's 1831-position model. Lineage: Eukaryota; Fungi; Glomeromycota; Glomeromycetes; Glomerales; Glomeraceae. The record is from RNAcentral.
AGCAGCCGCGGUAAUUCCAGCUCCAAUAGCGUAUAUUAAAGUUGUUGCAGUUAAAAAGCUCGUAGUUGAAUUUCGGGAUCAGCAGGUCGGUCGUGCCAAUGGUAUGCACUGGCCUUGUUGAUUCCUCCCUCUUGAUGAGCCGUAAUGCCAUUAAUUUGGUGUUGCGGGGAAUCAGGACUGUUACUUUGAAAAAAUUAGAGUGUUUAAAGCAGGCAAGCGCUUGAAUACAUUAGCAUGGAAUAAUGAAAUAGGACGUUUGAUCCUAUUUUGUUGGUUUCUAGGAUUGACGUAAUGAUUAAUAGGGAUAGUUGGGGGCAUUAGUAUUCAAUUGUCAGAGGUGAAAUUCUUGGAUUUAUUGAAGACUAACUACUGCGAAAGCAUUUGCCAAGGAUAUUUUCAUUAAUCAAGAACGAAAGUUAGGGGAUCGAAGACGAUCAGAUACCGUCGUAGUCUUAACCAUAAACUAUGCCGACUAGGGAUCGGAUGAUGUUAAUUUUUUAAUGACUCA